RNAcentral lists this ribosomal RNA (408 nucleotides) under Carrhotus sp. Sal_932. Its description in RNAcentral is "partial large subunit ribosomal RNA". The record is from RNAcentral. Lineage: Eukaryota; Metazoa; Arthropoda; Arachnida; Araneae; Salticidae.
GCCGGUCUGGAAGUGCAAGCGCGACGGCCUGAAGGUCGGGAACCGGCAGGUGGCCGGCGGCUCGCCUCGUGCGGGUUGUCGGUUGUUAGCCUUCCCGUCAGUGGCCCGUCUCCAGACCGUGGUGUCGCGAGUCCCUCACGGGACUCCUCGUCUCCCACCCAGAGUCGCGGGACUGAGAGCCGCAAGGGUCUUUCGUUCUCGCCGUCGCACUCUUACGGAGUGGGCGGAGAGGCGCGAGGCCCCGUUGGUGGUUCCGGACCCGCGGGGGACCGGAGGCUGGCAGCGAGUAGGUCGGUCACCCACCCGACCCGUCUUGAAACACGGACCAAGGAGUCUAACAUGUGCGCGAGUCAAUGGGUCUUGACUAGGCCCAGGGGCGCAAUGAAAGCGAAGGAUUGCCUCGCGCAG